GGCCUAUUAGCUCAGUUGGUUAGAGCGUCGUGCUAAUAACUUGAAGGUCGCAGGUUCGAAACUUGCAUGGGGCC
Gossypium hirsutum (cotton) is the source of this 74-nucleotide non-coding RNA. The record is from Rfam. NCBI's taxonomy places the organism in Eukaryota, Viridiplantae, Streptophyta, Magnoliopsida, Malvales, Malvaceae.